AGGGUUCCUGAGCAAAAGAGAAAAGGAGGUUUGACCAUGAGGCUUGGAGAAGGGAGAAGGGCUGGGGAGUACGGCAAGCAUCAAGGAAAUAUACUACUUUGGUUUUUAUGAAUAAUGAGCUAUUUUAAAUAUUAUUUAUUACUUUUUAGUCUUAGAGUAAUUUUUUUCUAGUGAGGAAUUUUGAAUGCAAGAUAAAGGAAGAGGGAUUUAUGAAGAGCUUGGUAUACUCAAAUUGAAAUCAUCUGGAUCUUGUUUAUAACAAAAUGACUGAAUUGUUCUAUACUUUGGUGCCUUAAUUUUCCUUUCAACAUCUCAACUUAUUAGUAAUAUAUGUAGAGCCUUUAGAGUUAAAUAGAGAAAAUCUCAACUUUAAGAUCUUAUUUUUACAGUACAAUUGAUCAAAUUAGGCAAAUAACUUAAAAUAUGUUGAAGAUUAGAUUCUUCACGGUCCUAUGGCAAGUGAAGGGCUUUCAGACAUCAUGUCAAAGUGUGAUUGAUUUUUAUUACUAUCUCAUUACUACUAAUACUAUUAGUAACAACAUUUAAAAAAAAUUCAUUGAUAUAGCUCAAGAAUGAGUUGUUUACUGAGAGAAAAUCAAGACUGUUUUGGGGGUUCUUCCCUAAUUUUUCAAAGCAGUCACUAUCCUGACUUCCCACAAUACAUUCCAUGGAGCUGUUUCCUGAGACAGAAGUCUGCAACCGCUGGUCUGAUACAUGGCAUUUGUUGAACUACUUAUGUCAAAACAUUAUAUUUUCCUUUUCUUCAAGCUCGCUCUUUAUUUUACACUACAGUUUAUUUCACAUUGCAUUUUAUUUUAUACUGACCCUAGCCUAUUUGUGGCAGUGUAUGAAAUGUUGGUUUUUUAUUCUACAGGUCAUUUCUGGCUCUGUGGUUUUAGACUCAUCAUUGUUUACUGAGCUUUUAUUGUCACUAGAGACAGCUUUGCUUUUUUUAAAUUUUUUUGCAUUUUAAUAAAGUUUCCAAUCCUCUUGGACCCUCUCCCCUGAAGCAGCUCCAGCUCCCCAGGGCUGCUGAAGAGUUGAGCAGAGAAAGUAGAAGCUUUUGUGGACAGUGAUGCCGAUGGCAGAUAACUCCAGCUGUCAUUACAAGAUCAUCCAGAUAAGGAGGGGACAAUCAAGUAGGGCUUACAGUCCACUUGAGUUUUUCUGAUUGUAAAACCUGCCAUUUUUCAAUUUAAAUAAUUUAAGGAUUCCAGCUUCUCUAUACUCUAAGGCUCAUUUAGCCUCUUAUUAGCUAACUGUUUCUCCAGUUCAAGAGGUGGAAGGGAAGAGUGCAGAUUUUUUGUUAUUGUUAAUUCACAGCAGUGGGUAGUGGUGGGUAAAUAAAAAAUAAGCCAAACAAAUUUGAUGAGAAGAGAGAAUACAAAUCCAUACAAGUAAUCAUAAUUGAUUUUAAAAAGUUAAUUAAAAGGAAUAAUAAGGGACAGAUACUGCAAUGGCCUAGCAUAUUAUCAGUAGGCAAAUGACAGGAGAAUGAAUUAGAAAAUUGAUUCUCACCUAACUAAAAGAAGAAGACAGGCUAAUACAGCUCUUAAUUUUAACUUGAAAAAUCCAAAAUUCUUUUCUAAACCCUUUCCUUGUAUUCUGACAAAGAUAUUAUGUCACAUUAUUCCCAUUGAAGGAAAUGCUGAGAGGAACAGGAGGGCAAUAACAAAAUGAAGCUGUAAUUUCCCAGAGGAUUCAGCUCAGAACUGACUUACAGAAUCACCUGUGACAAAUCAAUGACAACAAAAUAGCUAAGAAACCAUAGUUUGCAUAAGGUCUUCCUUUUUUCUCUUAGUUGUUAAGACUCUUUUUUCCUUUAAAAUUUUGUAGCCUUUUCUUCUUCUUAAAUCUCUGUGACCAAAGGCUGAUAACCUACAGUAUAUUUUUCUCCAAGUAGUAUAUACAAGAGCUGCCCCUCAAGGCAUUUACUCCCACACAAGAAAGGACAAGAAGAGCCUCGCCAGUAAGAAGGUGAGGCUCUUCUUGGACCUUUCAGGAGCAUCUUUUUGUGGGACUAUGUCUAAUAUUUUUGGGCUGGUUUUCUUGGAGAACUGUGCACGCUAGCUAUGCCCAUGGGCCUCUUCUUUCCUUUGCUUAGGAGACACUUGCUCAGAUGCAGACAGAUUACCUGGCAUAAAGGUCAGAGCCUGAGUGAGAAGGUUGGUUAGUUAAUUAGAUAAAAUAUUUCCUGACAGAGAUAGGAUCCAUAGUUACCACCAAGAGUUGAAUCUGAUUGAAACUCUUUAAAUUGUUAGAAAGACAAUUUUGACAUGCACACUGUUGAGCAAACAAAGUCUUCAGCUGACACUUGAAUCUUCUUACGUAGAAGGUAACAUGGUAACAUCAGUAGCUAAGGAGUUACAGCAGGAAGAAAGACCAGGAAACAUUGUGUUAGGUUUUCUUUCCCUCCCUCCUCUUCCUUCCUUCCAUCUUUCCUCCUUGCUUUUUCCCCCUUCCUUUCCUUUCUAAUCUCCUUCUUUCUAAAUAAUGGAAACCCAUCUUUGAAUUACUAAAUGAUAGAUCUAAUUGUUGUUACGUAAGUAGGCCUCAAGAAAAUAUGGCAUAUCUUUAUUCAAAGAACGUAUUUUAAAUUUCUGGACUGAUGUUCUGCUUUUUUUUUCUUUCCCUUUUAUCUCAUUUUUGAAUUAGAGAAAAUAAAACAAGCAUAGGCAAAUAAGCUAUGAGUGCCAGAGAUAGGUAAAAUUGCUCCUGCUUCCUUUAUUUUCUUUCCUUUUCUUUUUUCUUUCUUUCUUUUUCCUCUCUCCCUCUCUCUUUGUGAUUUUUUUCCCCUGGACGUUAAGCUCUAUAAGAUAAGAUUGAUUUACUCAUUACUGUAUUUCCUAGCAUUUAGCACUGUCCGUAAAUAUCUGCUGGGUGAUUGAAUUAAUGGAUGUCCAUUAAUAUCCACAAAAUGAGGAUGAAGGAUUGGUAAAUUCAGAACCAUUUAACAUAAAUAACUUAAAUAGUACCUUACAGAUCUUUUUUUUUUAAUGUGCAAAAGUGCUGUUAGAGGAAAGUUUCCCAAAAUGUAUUCAAUAAAACAUUAGCCCUGAAGAAUAAAAAUAGAUUUUUUAUGUGAAAUAGGUGAGGAAAGUCUAUGGAAAAAUUGUUUAGGAAACUCUAGUAUACAUAGUUCAAAGAGAUCUUUCCAAUAUGAUUUCUCAGAGUUUUUAAAAUACAAGUCUAUAAAUUUCUUAUAAAGGGACAUAACAUGCUAUAUUUCCAAAGAUUAUUUGACCAUGUCACUCUUUUACUUUGCACAUCUUAUAGGAAUAGUUUCCAUAAAACAUGUUUCCAUAAUACAUGCUUUGAGAAAAGUAGCAUCUUAAUUCAGCUUUACUUUCUUUAAUUCUUUUUCUUUUGAAUUUGUCUUAAUUAAUUAAUUUUUCCCACCAUGCAAGAUACCCCCAGGUACAAAAAUGUGAAUAUAGUUAAGUAUUGAACUUUACACUUAAAAAAAUGGUUUAGAUGUGUUUUUUUCAACCACAAUUGAAAAUUUAAAAAUACAAAAUAUUACUAAGUAAUAAAUGAAUCAAUAUUUUACAUAAAGUCUACAGUAAUGCACCAAAUUUAAUGUAUUGCCAAAUAGAGGGCUUGAUUUUGGUCUGCAACAUUUUACUCAAUUGCAUUACCUACCUUGAUAUUGUAUCCUCAGUAAAUAUCUUGAUUUUGAACACUGGGCUAUAGAUAUCUUAGUGUGUGUUUUUAGUAAUGCUGUUUAGGAUGACAAUACAAAAAGACCCCAUAACUGUGUAGGAAAAGUUUAUUGCAGUUUAGUAGGUUUAAGACUAAGGGACAAGUGGUUGGUUGUCACUGAUUCAGAGUGCCACUUUAAGUAAACUCUGCUUUCCUUAUCUGUAAGAGAGGCUCAGUCAAUAGUAUUUUACUUUUUCCCUCCAUCAUGGGAUUCCAAUUUUACGUGGGGCUCUAAUAGACACAGCAGAUAAAGGCAGGAGGUAAGAGGCCAAUUGGUCUCCCUUCCCCCACAGCCCUAAGUAGCCCCAAAGAGCCUAAGAGCUCAAGGGAACACAGUUUGAAAAUCAUGAGACUGGAUAAUCUUUAGAGUUUUUCCCAAGCCUUACUCCUGCCACUAGGAGUAAGGCUGAGGUAGAAAAGAAUGUUUAUAUCCAUAUUAAAGCCUGUAAUAUUAUACAGACCCACAAAGCAUUCAGAUAUAAUGGAACAUAGAAUACUGCCAUACCACAUGUGGCAAGCACCUUUGGAAUUUCAACAUAUAUUUUAGAUUAAAAAAUAAAACUAUUAUCAGAAUGUACUCUUCCUUCAGUCCUUUAUAGAUACAUUUCAAGAUAUAGACUCGGUGGUGAAUUAAAAUUGAAUGCAAAUAUUGUCACUGAAACGUUGCCCAUUUAUAUGGUUUUCUAAGACUCUUCUCGUUUUUAAUGGGCAAGGUUUUGCUGAAAACAAAAAAUGUUAAUUACAUAAAUAUGCGUAUUCUUUUCAAAGCAUUACACUAUAUUAUGGUUAAAAAAACAAUAGAGAAAUAAACACAAAACUUUCAACAGAAAUACUGCUUCUUGAACAGCUUUUAAAAGUAUGACAUGUUUACUGGGAAAAUGCAUUACUCAUGACAGGGUUACAAAAGCAAUAUUAACCUUCUUGAAAUUUAAUAGCAAAAUUCAGACAUGUAGAAAUAAGUACCAGACAUGGUAACAUAACUACUUUUGUUAAGAUUGUAUGUAGGAUAAAACAGAUAUUUAAAGCUACAUUAAGAUGUGGGUAAAUAAAUGAUCCUUUAAAAGAUUCACAGCACAUAUGCAUCAUGACUAAAAUCAUGAUGCAGAUUGUGCUAGAAUAGCAUUCUUGGAAAUGGAAAACCUUGUGCUUUCUUUUGCUUCUGUUAUUUUGGGCACUGUUGCUUUUGCAGUUUUGCACAGAGUGUCAGACAUUAAAUUUGCCCUUAGAU
This 4930-nucleotide long non-coding RNA is filed under the name Sus scrofa (pig). RNAcentral describes it as "lncRNA (ENSSSCG00040014911.1)". The record is from RNAcentral. Lineage: Eukaryota; Metazoa; Chordata; Mammalia; Artiodactyla; Suidae.